AACGAACGCUGGCGGCAUGCCUAACACAUGCAAGUCGAACGAGACCUUCGGGUCUAGUGGCGCACGGGUGCGUAACGCGUGGGAACCUGCCCUUAGGUUCGGAAUAACUCCCCGAAAGGGGUGCUAAUACCGGAUAAUGUCUUCGGACCAAAGAUUUAUCGCCUUUGGAUGGGCCCGCGUUGGAUUAGCUAGUUGGUAGGGUAAAAGCCUACCAAGGCGACGAUCCAUAGCUGGUCUGAGAGGAUGAUCAGCCACACUGGGACUGAGACACGGCCCAGACUCCUACGGGAGGCAGCAGUGGGGAGUAUUGGACGAUGGGCGAAAGCCUGAUCCAGCAGUGCCGCGUGAGUGAUGAAGGCCUUAGGGUUGUAAAGCUCUUUUACCCGGGAUGAUAAUGACAGUACCGGGAGAAUAAGCUCCGGCUAACUCCGUG
Molecule: ribosomal RNA, 433 nt
Filed under: uncultured bacterium
Lineage: Bacteria
Description: partial 16S ribosomal RNA
Rfam family: Bacterial small subunit ribosomal RNA
Source: RNAcentral